UGGGGAAUUUUGGACAAUGGGCGAAAGCCUGAUCCAGCAAUGCCGCGUGUGUGAAGAAGGCCUUCGGGUUGUAAAGCACUUUUGUCCGGAAAGAAAUCCUUGGCUCUAAUACAGUCGGGGGGAUGACGGUACCGGAAGAAUAAGCACCGGCUAACUACGUGCCAGCAGCCGCGGUAAUACGUAGGGUGCAAGCGUUAAUCGGAAUUACUGGGCGUAAAGCGUGCGCAGGCGGUUUGCUAAGACCGAUGUGAAAUCCUGGGCUCAACCUGGGAACUGCAUUGGUGACUGGCAGGCUAGAGUAUGGCAGAGGGGGGUAGAAUUCCACGUGUAGCAGUGAAAUGCGUAGAGAUGUGGAGGAAUACCGAUGGCGAAGGCAGCCCCCUGGGCCAAUACUGACGCUCAUGCACGAAAGCGUGGGGGAGCAAAACAGGAUUAGAUACCCCUGGUAGUCCACGCCCUAAACGAUGUCAACUAGUUGUUGGGGAUUCAUUUCCUUAGUAACGUAGCUAACGCGUGAAGUCGACCGCCUGGGGAGUACGGCCGCAAGGUUAAAACUCAAAGGAAUUGACGGGG
RNAcentral lists this ribosomal RNA (573 nucleotides) under uncultured bacterium. RNAcentral describes it as "partial 16S ribosomal RNA". It matches the Rfam family "Bacterial small subunit ribosomal RNA", at positions 355 to 918 of the family's 1533-position model. The record is from RNAcentral.